RNAcentral lists this ribosomal RNA (253 nucleotides) under uncultured bacterium. RNAcentral's name for it is "partial 16S ribosomal RNA". It matches the Rfam family "Bacterial small subunit ribosomal RNA", at positions 524 to 776 of the family's 1533-position model. The record is from RNAcentral.
UACGAAGGGGGCUAGCGUUGUUCGGAAUUACUGGGCGUAAAGCGCACGUAGGCGGAUUGUUUAGUUAGGGGUGAAAUCCCAGGGCUCAACCCUGGAACUGCCUCUAAUACUGGCAAUCUCGAGUCCGAGAGAGGUGAGUGGAAUUCCGAGUGUAGAGGUGAAAUUCGUAGAUAUUCGGAGGAACACCAGUGGCGAAGGCGGCUCACUGGCUCGGUACUGACGCUGAGGUGCGAAAGCGUGGGGAGCAAACAGG